This 164-nucleotide ribosomal RNA is filed under the name uncultured bacterium. Its description in RNAcentral is "partial 16S rRNA". It matches the Rfam family "Bacterial small subunit ribosomal RNA", at positions 355 to 511 of the family's 1533-position model. The record is from RNAcentral.
UAGGGAAUCUUCGGCAAUGGGGGCAACCCUGACCGAGCAACGCCGCGUGAGUGAAGAAGGUUUUCGGAUCGUAAAGCUCUGUUGUUAAAGAAGAACACGUAUGAGAGUAACUGUUCAUACGUUGACGGUAUUUAACCAGAAAGUCACGGCUAACUACGUGCCAG